Molecule: long non-coding RNA, 541 nt
Organism: Stegodyphus dumicola
Lineage: Eukaryota; Metazoa; Arthropoda; Arachnida; Araneae; Eresidae
Source: RefSeq, a predicted model, not a curated record
GAAUCACUGCGGUUGAGUUAACGCUCCGGAUUUCUAUGAAAUUUGUUUUUUCGAUUGAGAUAAACAUGUUGUCGCAUUGAAUACCGAAGGAACCGUUGAAAAUGGUGCCGAGAACACCGAUUCCGAGCGCAGCAUCGGUCAACUUCGGAAUUGGCCUGACAAUGGUUUUGGUUGGUUGCGUGAUGCUCGGUAUAGCUGCUGCUUUGUUAUGCCUCAACAAACCAAUUUUGUACUCUCGUGAUGGACGGUAUGACCAGUUACUGAUGUCUGUCAUGCCUGUUGACCCACGACGCAGAAGAAUGGAAGUUUUCCAUCCAAAAUAGUUCAUACUGCAAUAAAAAGAUGGUUUCUAAAAUUUUGAAUUUUUGGUGGAGAAAUUUUUAAAAAGUACAUUUUUUCAUAUGUUCCCCGAUGGACUUGAGAUAUAACAACGUUGAAUAUGAAACUAUAUAAUUUGCUAUCUUUUCUAAAAUGCAUCAUUAUUUGAAAUGUAUAAAUUUGUCUAUUGUUUUUAAAUAAAAAAUGUCUAUAUUUUAAUAAU